Molecule: transfer RNA, 72 nt
Filed under: Bos taurus (domestic cattle)
Lineage: Eukaryota; Metazoa; Chordata; Mammalia; Artiodactyla; Bovidae
Also listed under: 1 other name
Rfam family: tRNA
About the family: Transfer RNA (tRNA) molecules are approximately 80 nucleotides in length. Their secondary structure includes four short double-helical elements and three loops (D, anti-codon, and T loops).
Source: Rfam by way of RNAcentral
UCCUUGAUAGCUCAGUUGGUAAAGAAUCUGCCUGCAAUGCAGUAGACCCUGGUUCGAUACCUGGGUUGGGAA